CCGUCAAUUCAUUUGAGUUUUAGCCUUGCGGCCGUACUCCCCAGGCGGGGUGCUUAAUGCGUUAGCUUCGGCACGGACGGAGUCGACACCGCCCACACCUAGCACCCAUCGUUUACGGCGUGGACUACCAGGGUAUCUAAUCCUGUUCGCUCCCCACGCUUUCGCGUCUCAGCGUCAGUACCGUCCCAGAGAGCCGCCUUCGCCACGGGUGUUCUUCCUGAUAUCUGCGCAUUUCACCGCUACACCAGGAAUUCCACUCUCCUCUUCCGGACUCUAGCCAGAUGGUUUCCGCCGACAUCUCGAGGUUGAGCCUCGAGUUUUCACAGCAGACCUACCUGGCCGCCUACACGCUCUUUACGCCCAAUAAAUCCGGACAACGCUUGCCCCCUACGUAUUACCG
This 400-nucleotide unclassified non-coding RNA is filed under the name uncultured fungus. RNAcentral's name for it is "sequence contains ITS1". The record is from RNAcentral. Lineage: Eukaryota; Fungi.